Molecule: long non-coding RNA, 229 nt
Filed under: Brachypodium distachyon (stiff brome)
Lineage: Eukaryota; Viridiplantae; Streptophyta; Magnoliopsida; Poales; Poaceae
Description: long non-coding RNA (BDIS_LNC004966)
Source: RNAcentral
GGCGCAGUCGGACCGGGCCGGUUCGGCCCAAAGUGGCCGGGCCUGUCCGGUUUACUUUUUCUUUUAGACCUUUUCUUUUUCUGUUUUUCUCAUUUCUUUGAUAUCUUUUGGGUUUGAACUCCAAAUUGGUCCAAAUAAAUUCCAGAAAAUUUCGAAAAUCAUAUUCUACCAUGAUACACUUUUGGAAAUAGUUUAUUUUCAAAAUAAAAUAUAUAAAAAUACAUUUGCC